GGCUCUUUUACCAGGGAUGAUAAUGACAGUACCGGGAGAAUAAGCCCCGGCUAACUCCGUGCCAGCAGCCGCGGUAAUACGGAGGGGGCUAGCGUUGUUCGGAAUUACUGGGCGUAAAGCGUACGUAGGCGGCUUUGUAAGUUAGAGGUGAAAGCCCGGAGCUCAACUCCGGAAUUGCCUUUAAGACUGCAUCGCUUGAAUCAUGGAGAGGUGAGUGGAAUUCCGAGUGUAGAGGUGAAAUUCGUAGAUAUUCGGAAGAACACCAGUGGCGAAGGCGACUCACUGGACAUGUAUUGACGCUGAGGUACGAAAGCGUGGGGAGCAAACAGGAUUAGAUACCCUGGUAGUCCACGCCGUAAACGAUGAUAACUAGCUGUCCG
RNAcentral lists this ribosomal RNA (380 nucleotides) under uncultured Sphingomonas sp. RNAcentral describes it as "bacterial SSU rRNA". It matches the Rfam family "Bacterial small subunit ribosomal RNA", at positions 429 to 826 of the family's 1533-position model. Lineage: Bacteria; Pseudomonadati; Pseudomonadota; Alphaproteobacteria; Sphingomonadales; Sphingomonadaceae. The record is from RNAcentral.